This 423-nucleotide ribosomal RNA is filed under the name uncultured prokaryote. Its description in RNAcentral is "bacterial SSU rRNA". It matches the Rfam family "Bacterial small subunit ribosomal RNA", at positions 355 to 796 of the family's 1533-position model. The record is from RNAcentral.
UGGGGAAUCUUGGACAAUGGGGGCAACCCUGAUCCAGCGACGCCGCGUGGGUGGUAAGGCCUUCGGGUUGUAAAGCCCUUUCACCAGGGAAGAUGAUGACAUUACCUGGAGAAGAAGCACCGGCUAACUCCGUGCCAGCAGCCGCGGUAAGACGGAGGGUGCUAGCGUUGUUCGGAAUCACUGGGCGUAAAGGGCGCGUAGGCGGCCUUUCAAGUUGGAUGUGAAAGCCCGGGGCUCAACCUCGGAACGGCAUUCGAAACUGGAAGGCUGGAGACCGAAAGAGGAGGGUGGAAUACCCAGUGUAGAGGUGAAAUUCGUAGAUAUUGGGUGGAACACCGGUGGCGAAAGCGGCUCUCUGGUUCGGAUCUGACGCUGAGGCGCGAAAGCGUGGGGAGCAAACAGGAUUAGAUACCCCCGUAGUCC